This is a long non-coding RNA of Hermetia illucens (black soldier fly), 1930 nucleotides long. RefSeq lists it as uncharacterized. The transcript has 3 exons. The record is from RefSeq and is a predicted model, not a curated record. Lineage: Eukaryota; Metazoa; Arthropoda; Insecta; Diptera; Stratiomyidae.
CCUUAAAUUUUCAUGGACGGUCAUAAUUCAUUUAAAUUGAAAGCAAAUUAGGGUUUAGAGGCACACAAGUCACUUGGAUAGGUUUAGGUGAAGAAAACUUAAUGACAGCAGGGCCAGCUAUUAUAUUGUUUGAGAUAAUUGAAGAUUUCACUCUUCCAGAGGAAAAAAUGAUGGAUUCCGUCAUACACGUGAUGGCGAUGACAUACUCCAAAUAUGACCAUUUACAUACCAUUAACAUCACUUGGUAGUGCUUCUGGUCGUUGGGGACGAUUUCAGCAAAUGACGGCAGUGCCCUGGAAUUCUCACUUAGAGCAUUUUGGUUAUCUGGCUAAAAACUUGGAAACAAAACUCAGGAAUAAAUCUCCUUGACAUGAUACCGUCUUAUGAUCACAAUCGGACAAGACCACAGUCCUUUAGGCGUCGUGUAGCAACCUCGCCAGCUCCUUACAGAGAAAUCAUAUGAAAGUCAAAACAGCCAUCUUGGAUGAUUGCAGCUUGCAUCUAAAACAGACUAAAGUCCAUUAUCUGGCUGACAAUCAGUGGAGGUUGUUAUUUGCAUUACUUGAACAUUUGAAUUUGGCAAGAAAUAAAAUUUAAAAUGUAUGACCGACUUGAGAGCUGUCAGCGAUUUUACGGUUUACGAAAAGAAGGAAAAUUGAUCUUUGAAGAGGGUAACGCACGCAUAUAAACUAACGUAAGUCUGGUCACUGAAGAUUUAUGCAAUUUCCGAAAACUUUGCUUUCAAAUGAACCACGAUCUGGGUCGCUAAUGCAAAUGGUUUUUAUUCGAGCUAAUAAAAGAGGAGAUACAUAUAUCCGUAGUUCUAUAUUUACGGAUAUAUGUAUCUCCUUUACGGGAAAUAAGAAAAAAAUUAAGAGUGAUUUAAUUUCAACCUAUCUACACAUUAUUUUCAGUUUGUGAAAUCUUCUUUUCCACUCAAUCAGUAUGAAUAUUAAUUCAGGUCAUUUCUGUUCAAUAUGAACUACCAUGAGAAACUUUCCUCCAUUUGUGUAAAUAGGUGUACUUAUAAUUCGGUAUAUUGGUUUCAUACCUAUUCACACUCCCUUGCUCUCUAGGUUCUAAUUUCUAUAUUAAUAGAUGCUCUUGUUUAUAUAUAAAAUGGAGAGGUUUUGACACUUUCCGUCUCUACUUAGAACUCCAUUGGAUACGCAUUACUUCAAUAUAAUUUGAAUACUUUAGCGCAUAGACAUGUGAUCAUGCUACGAUACUCUAUUCUAAUACGAUAUUAGAGCUAGGAUUUGGAUUACAUUUUAACAAUCCACCUGUCAUUAAAGCAUUCCCUGAAUUUCAAUCCGUCUGGCAAUGCUGUUUUUAAUUACAAGCCAUUCUAAGGUGGCAUGUCAGCGUACUUUGCAAGCUCGGUGCGCAACGGUUGCCGCAUUCUUUAACCCUCGGACAAAAAAUGCAUCCGAAUGAGGCUUUUUCAGCAACAAGCAAGCAAGAGGGUAAGAAGUGGUGUCCCUCCGAAUCCUCGGCACCGAAGCGAGUUCGUGAGGCAGAAAUCGACUAAAAAGGCGUCAGCGUUUUGAGAUGUUAGUGGAUUACAUCUGGGAAAACAAUAAAUUUACUGUAUUACUGUAACCUUUUGGACCAGAUGCACAUGAAAAUUCAUCAGAAAAGGCCUGGUUUGCCGAAGAAAAAAGUAGUUUUGCAUCAAGAUGCUCAAAAAGCAUACCUAAAAUCCUUAAAGUGCGAAUUGUUGCAACAUCCACCCAAUUCGCCAGAUUCAGUUCACCUUGACUUCUGGUUGUUCUCACUCCUCAAACAAUUCUUAGGUGGAUAUCGAUUUUCAUCAAAUGAAGAGAUGAUAGCUGCUGUAAACGGGUAAUUUGGAGAUCUUCCAGAAAACCACUACGGGAUCCUUAAAUUAGAGAAUCGCUUGAAUAAAUGUAUAGAAGUUAAGGGAGAU